RNAcentral lists this ribosomal RNA (423 nucleotides) under uncultured Enterobacteriaceae bacterium. RNAcentral describes it as "bacterial SSU rRNA". It matches the Rfam family "Bacterial small subunit ribosomal RNA", at positions 355 to 774 of the family's 1533-position model. Lineage: Bacteria; Pseudomonadati; Pseudomonadota; Gammaproteobacteria; Enterobacterales; Enterobacteriaceae. The record is from RNAcentral.
GGGGGAAUAUUCACAAUGGGCGCAAGCCUGAUGCAGCCAUGCCGCGUGUAUGAAGAGGCCUUCGGGUUGUAAGUACUUUCAGCGGGGAGGAAGGUGUUGAGGUUAAUAACCUCAGCAAUUGACGUUACCCGCAGAAGAAGCACCGGCUAACUCCGUGCCAGCAGCCGCGGUAAUACGGAGGGUGCAAGCGUUAAUCGGAAUUACUGGGCGUAAAGCGCACGCAGGCGGUCUGUCAAGUCGGAUGUGAAAUCCCCGGGCUCAACCUGGGAACUGCAUUCGAAACUGGCAGGCUAGAGUCUUGUAGAGGGGGUAGAAUUCCAGGUGUAGCGGUGAAAUUGCGUAGAGAUCUGGAGGAAUACCGGUGGCGAAGGCGGCCCCCUGGACAAAGACUGACGCUCAGGUGCGAAAGCGUGGGAGCAAACA